RNAcentral lists this small RNA (141 nucleotides) under Arabidopsis thaliana (thale cress). RNAcentral's name for it is "ATSL077800". The record is from RNAcentral. Lineage: Eukaryota; Viridiplantae; Streptophyta; Magnoliopsida; Brassicales; Brassicaceae.
AUACGUAAAGUUUUGCGUCUAUCUUAUUAUAUAAAGUAUGGUUUUCAAAGUUGCUAAUUCAUAGAAUUUUGCCACGUGUCAAGUCAAACAAUCAGAUGUUUAUAUGUGUCAUUCCAAAUUUUACUUUUUUAUUCUCUAAAA